Non-coding RNA from Mauremys mutica (yellowpond turtle), 607 nucleotides. Lineage: Eukaryota; Metazoa; Chordata; Testudines; Geoemydidae. The record is from the annotation of a RefSeq genome assembly.
GAGACACAAUCCGCAGCCCCUGGGUCUGUGCAGUGACCGGCCAGUUCUCUGAGAACUUCCCCCUCCAGCACCCGGGAAAAUGGGAUUUUUGCUCCUUGUAAUUUUCGCUGUAGCAGCUUUGGAAGGUGUCCGGUCCCAGGUGCAGCUGGUGGAGUCCGGAGGGGAUGUGAAAAAGCCCGGAGACUCUCUCCGCCUCUCCUGCAAAGCCUCCGGGUUCGACUUCAGCAGCUCCAGGAUGGACUGGGUCCGACAGGCUCCUGGCAAGGGGCUAGAAUGGGUCGCUUUUAUAAGGUACGAUGGAGGUAAUAUUCAGUACCGUGAUUCCGUCAAAGGCCGAUUCACCAUCUCCAGGGAUGAUCCCAAGAGUGAGCUGUAUCUGCAAAUGACCGGCCUGAAGCCCGAGGACACCGCCCGCUAUUACUGUGCGAGACGCCAGAAACAGACGCACAGUGAGGGAAAACCUAUCCGAGCCCGGCCUAAAACUAACGGUGCAGAGAACCAGCCCUCCCGUGUGAGCCGCAGAGAGCAGCAGCAGCUCCGCGAGAAAGUCCGCGGCGUUGCCUGACCAGGACAUUUAUUCAGAACAAACACUCAGAAAGGGAGGGUU